Molecule: ribosomal RNA, 253 nt
Filed under: uncultured bacterium
Lineage: Bacteria
Description: partial 16S ribosomal RNA
Rfam family: Bacterial small subunit ribosomal RNA
Source: RNAcentral
GACAGAGGUGCCAAGCGCUAGGCGGAAUCACUGGGCUUAAAGCGUGUGUAGGCGGAAGCGUAAGUGCCUUGUGAAAUCCCACGGCUCAACCGUGGAACUGCUGGGCAUACUGCGUUUCUUGAGCCAGCCAGGGGUCGUCGGAACAAACGGUGGAGCGGUGAAAUGCGUAGAUAUCGUGUGGAACGCCAAAGGCGAAAGCAGACGACUGGGGCUGAGCUGACGCUGAGACACGAAAGCCAGGGGAGCAAACGGG